AGCACUAUUACUAGUGGGACUGGACUAUAUCUUAAGCAAAAUUUAAUUUGCCCACAUUCAUAUAGUCUCUGAACCCUUCUCUAAUGAGAUUGGCUGCGAAUUUUCCCUUUCAUCAAAUUUUAACUAACUUUUGAGUAUUGAUGAAUUUAAUUUUCCUUAUUUUGAGGAAAUUUUUGGGAUGUUCCCGCAAUUUGAAUAUGUCGUUUUUAAAUUUAAAAACUUGCCAAUAAUUUCUAAUUGACAAAGGCAU
Molecule: non-coding RNA, 250 nt
Filed under: Klosneuvirus KNV1
Lineage: Varidnaviria; Bamfordvirae; Nucleocytoviricota; Megaviricetes; Imitervirales; Mimiviridae
Source: RNAcentral